ACAAAAAUAUUAUUAUAUUCGAAAUAAAAACAAAUCGCGUAAAUUUUACGACUUUAAUUACUUUUCGGCAAUGUAAACAUAGUGAGACUUUUGAAACAUUGAAAUGCGGGGGAAACGCGGAUUUCAGUCAGCUAAAGCGAUCCAGCGUUACAUCAAGGUUUUUUGACCCACAGAAGACGAUGGAAAGCUGCCUCACCAAGACACCAGACGCUGGAUCAUCUAUAUUUGCAAUCGCAGACGCAAGACAUGUGUUCAGGUUUUGAACAUGAUGUCUCCAGCAAGGAUAUGUUUGAUGACGGUUACCAUGGAAACGAACUCACGGACCUAUGUCAAAAAUGUCUUUUUCUGAUAAAAUAAAUAUAAUGCUAUCCAUUUCA
Molecule: long non-coding RNA, 377 nt
Organism: Ostrea edulis (European flat oyster)
Lineage: Eukaryota; Metazoa; Mollusca; Bivalvia; Ostreida; Ostreidae
Exons: 2
Source: RefSeq, a predicted model, not a curated record